AACGCGAAGAAUCCUUACCUGCGCCUUGACAUCCUGGGAACCCCGAAGAGAUUCGGGGGUGCCGCAAGGAGCCCAGAGUACAGGUGCUGCAUGGCUGUUUUCAGCUCGUGUCGUGAGAUGUUGGGUUAAGUCCCGCAACGAGCGCAACCCUUGUCCUUAGUUGCCAGCAUUAAGUUGGGCACUCUAAGGAGACCGCCGGUGACAAACCGGAGGAAGGUGGGGAUGACGUCAAGUCAUCAUGGCCUUUAUGGCCAGGGCUACGCACGUGCUACAAUGGUGGAAACAGAGGGAAGCCAACGCGCGAGCGGGAGCCAAUCCCAGAAAAUCCAUCGUAGUCCGGAUUGGAGUCUGCAACUCGACUCCAUGAAGUCGGAAUCGCUAGUAAUCGCAGAUCAGCAUUGCUGCGGUGAAUACUGUUCCCGGGUCUUGUACACACCG
Molecule: ribosomal RNA, 438 nt
Filed under: uncultured bacterium
Lineage: Bacteria
Description: bacterial SSU rRNA
Rfam family: Bacterial small subunit ribosomal RNA
Source: RNAcentral